UGCAGUCGAGCGGAGAUGAGGUGCUUGCACCUUAUCUUAGCGGCGGACGGGUGAGUAAUGCUUAGGAAUCUGCCUAUUAGUAGGGGACAACAUUCCGAAAGGGAUGCUAAUACCGCAUACGUCCUACGGGAGAAAGCAGGGGAUCUUCGGACCUUGCGCUAAUAGAUGAGCCUAAGUCGGAUUAGCUAGUUGGUGGGGUAAAGGCCUACCAAGGCGACGAUCUGUAGCGGGUCUGAGAGGAUGAUCCGCCACACUGGGACUGAGACACGGCCCAGACUCCUACGGGAGGCAGCAGUGGGGAAUAUUGGACAAUGGGGGGAACCCUGAUCCAGCCAUGCCGCGUGUGUGAAGAAGGCCUUAUGGUUGUAAAGCACUUUAAGCGAGGAGGAGGCUACUGAGACUAAUACUCUUGGAUAGUGGACGUUACUCGCAGAAUAAGCACCGGCUAACUCUGUGCCAGCAGCCGCGGUAAU
RNAcentral lists this ribosomal RNA (473 nucleotides) under uncultured bacterium. RNAcentral's name for it is "bacterial SSU rRNA". It matches the Rfam family "Bacterial small subunit ribosomal RNA", at positions 56 to 524 of the family's 1533-position model. The record is from RNAcentral.